This 253-nucleotide ribosomal RNA is filed under the name uncultured bacterium. Its description in RNAcentral is "partial 16S ribosomal RNA". It matches the Rfam family "Bacterial small subunit ribosomal RNA", at positions 524 to 776 of the family's 1533-position model. The record is from RNAcentral.
UACGUAGGGGGCUAGCGUUGUCCGGAAUCAUUGGGCGUAAAGCGCGCGUAGGCGGCCAGAUAAGUCCGGUGUGAAAGUCACAGGCUCAACCUGUGAAUGCCGCUGGAAACUGUCUGGCUAGAGUCCGGAAGGGGCGAGUGGAAUUCCUGGUGUAGCGGUGAAAUGCGCAGAUAUCAGGAGGAACACCAAUGGCGAAGGCAGCUCGCUGGAACGGUACUGACGCUGAGGAGCGAAAGCGUGGGGAGCGAACAGG